This 402-nucleotide ribosomal RNA is filed under the name bacterium. RNAcentral describes it as "partial 16S ribosomal RNA". It matches the Rfam family "Bacterial small subunit ribosomal RNA", at positions 355 to 776 of the family's 1533-position model. The record is from RNAcentral.
UGGGGAAUUUUGCACAAUGGGGGAAACCCUGAUGCAGCGACGCCGCGUGAUUUAGAAGGCCUUCGGGUUGUAAAAAUCUUUUCUAUGGGAAGAAAAUGACAGUACCAUAGGAAUAAGGACCGGCUAAUUACGUGCCAGAAGCCGCGGUAAUACGUAAGGUCCGAGCGUUGUCCGGAAUCAUUGGGCGUAAAGGGUACGUAGGCGGGUAAGCAAGUUAGAAGUGAAAUCCUAUAUCUCAACUAUAGUAAGAUUUUAAAACUGCUCAUCUUGAGGUAUGGAAGGGAAAGUGGAAUUCCUAGUGUAGCGGUGAAAUGCGCAGAUAUUAGGAGGAAUACCGGUGGCGAAGGCGACUUUCUGGCCAUAACCUGACGCUGAGGUACGAAAGCGUGGGUAGCAAACAGG